UGCCAGCAGCCGCGGUAAUACGUAGGUGGCAAGCGUUGUCCGGAAUUAUUGGGCGUAAAGCGCGCGUAGGUGGGAUCAUAAGUCUUAUGUAAAAGUGCGGGGCUCAACCCCGUAAAGCGUGAGAAACUGUGAUUCUUGAGUGCAGGAGAGGAAAGCGGAAUUCCCAGUGUAGCGGUGAAAUGCGUAGAUAUUGGGAGGAACACCAGUGGCGAAGGCGGCUUUCUGGACUGUGUCUGACACUGAGGCGCGAAAGCUAGGGGAGCGAACGGGAUUAGAUACCCCGGUAGUCCUAGCCGUAAACGAUGGGUACUAGGUGUAGGGGGUAUCGACCCCUCCUGUGCCGGAGUUAACGCAAUAAGUACCCCGCCUGGGGAGUACGGCCGCAAGGUUGAAACUCAAAGGAAUUGACGGGGGCCCGCACAAGA
RNAcentral lists this ribosomal RNA (425 nucleotides) under uncultured bacterium. RNAcentral's name for it is "bacterial SSU rRNA". It matches the Rfam family "Bacterial small subunit ribosomal RNA", at positions 506 to 930 of the family's 1533-position model. The record is from RNAcentral.